This 253-nucleotide ribosomal RNA is filed under the name uncultured bacterium. RNAcentral's name for it is "partial 16S ribosomal RNA". It matches the Rfam family "Bacterial small subunit ribosomal RNA", at positions 524 to 776 of the family's 1533-position model. The record is from RNAcentral.
UACGUAGGCAGCAAGCGUUGUUCGGAGUUACUGGGCGUAAAGGGUGCGUAGGCGGCGAGGUAAGUCGGGUGUGAAAUCUCGGAGCUUAACUCCGAAACUGCAUUCGAUACUGCCGUGCUUGAGGACUGGAGAGGAGACUGGAAUUUACGGUGUAGCGGUGAAAUGCGUAGAUAUCGUAAGGAAGACCAGUGGCGAAGGCGGGUCUCUGGACAGUUCCUGACGCUGAGGCACGAAGGUCAGGGGAGCAAACGGG